RNAcentral lists this ribosomal RNA (489 nucleotides) under uncultured bacterium. Its description in RNAcentral is "partial 16S ribosomal RNA". It matches the Rfam family "Bacterial small subunit ribosomal RNA", at positions 29 to 504 of the family's 1533-position model. The record is from RNAcentral.
AGUGAACGCUGGCGGUAGGCCUAACACAUGCAAGUCGAACGGCAGCACAGUAAGAGCUUGCUCUUACGGGUGGCGAGUGGCGGACGGGUGAGGAAUACAUCGGAAUCUACUUUUUCGUGGGGGAUAACGUAGGGAAACUUACGCUAAUACCGCAUACGACCUACGGGUGAAAGCAGGGGAUCUUCGGACCUUGCGCGAUUGAAUGAGCCGAUGUCGGAUUAGCUAGUUGGCGGGGUAAAGGCCCACCAAGGCGACGAUCCGUAGCUGGUCUGAGAGGAUGAUCAGCCACACUGGAACUGAGACACGGACCAGACUCCUACGGGAGGCAGCAGUGGGGAAUAUUGGACAAUGGGCGCAAGCCUGAUCCAGCCAUACCGCGUGGGUGAAGAAGGCCUUCGGGUUGUAAAGCCCUUUUGUUGGGAAAGAAAAGCAGCAGGUUAAUACCCCGCUGUUCUGACGGUACCCAAAGAAUAAGCACCGGCUAACUUC